Coccidioides immitis RMSCC 2394 is the source of this 82-nucleotide non-coding RNA. The record is from Rfam. NCBI's taxonomy places the organism in Eukaryota, Fungi, Ascomycota, Eurotiomycetes, Onygenales, Onygenaceae.
GGAGAGAUGGCCGAGUGGUCUAAGGCGUUCGAUUUAAGCUCGAAUAACGAAAGUUGCGUGGGUUCGAACCCCACUCUCUCCA